UACAGAGGUCUCAAGCGUUGUUCGGAUUUACUGGGCGUAAAGGGCGCGUAGGCGGUCGUGACAAGUCACUUGUGAAAUCUCCGGGCUUAACUCGGAACGGUCAAGUGAUACUGUCGGACUAGAGUACAGAAGGGGCAACUGGAAUUCUCGGUGUAGCGGUGAAAUGCGUAGAUAUCGAGAGGAACACCUGCGGCGAAGGCGGGUUGCUGGGCUGAUACUGACGCUGAGGCACGAAAGUGUGGGGAUCAAACAGG
RNAcentral lists this ribosomal RNA (254 nucleotides) under uncultured bacterium. RNAcentral's name for it is "partial 16S ribosomal RNA". It matches the Rfam family "Bacterial small subunit ribosomal RNA", at positions 524 to 776 of the family's 1533-position model. The record is from RNAcentral.